This 74-nucleotide transfer RNA is filed under the name Myxococcales bacterium. Its description in RNAcentral is "tRNA-Arg". It matches the Rfam family "tRNA". Rfam says of the family: Transfer RNA (tRNA) molecules are approximately 80 nucleotides in length. Their secondary structure includes four short double-helical elements and three loops (D, anti-codon, and T loops). Lineage: Bacteria; Pseudomonadati; Myxococcota; Myxococcia; Myxococcales. The record is from RNAcentral.
GUCCUCGUAGCUCAAGGGAAGAGUACUGGUCUCCGAAGCCAGCGAUGAAGGUUCGAUUCCUUUCGGGGACGCCA